This 68-nucleotide transfer RNA is filed under the name Halyomorpha halys (brown marmorated stink bug). Its description in RNAcentral is "tRNA-Ala". It matches the Rfam family "tRNA". Rfam says of the family: Transfer RNA (tRNA) molecules are approximately 80 nucleotides in length. Their secondary structure includes four short double-helical elements and three loops (D, anti-codon, and T loops). The record is from RNAcentral. Lineage: Eukaryota; Metazoa; Arthropoda; Insecta; Hemiptera; Pentatomidae.
GGGGUUGUAGUUAAAAUAUAUAACAUUUAAUUUGCAAUUAAAAUAUACUAAUACAUUAGUCUACCUCA